UACGGAGGGUGCAAGCGUUAUCCGGAUUCACUGGGUUUAAAGGGUGCGUAGGUGGGUCUGUAAGUCCGUGGUGAAAUCUCCGAGCUUAACUUGGAAACUGCCAUGGAUACUAUAGGUCUUGAAUACUGUGGAGGUAAGCGGAAUAUGUCAUGUAGCGGUGAAAUGCUUAGAUAUGACAUAGAACACCGAUAGCGAAGGCAGCUUGCUACACAGUUAUUGACACUGAGGCACGAAAGCGUGGGGAGCAAACAGG
RNAcentral lists this ribosomal RNA (253 nucleotides) under uncultured bacterium. Its description in RNAcentral is "partial 16S ribosomal RNA". It matches the Rfam family "Bacterial small subunit ribosomal RNA", at positions 524 to 776 of the family's 1533-position model. The record is from RNAcentral.